UUAACUCAUAUUUGUAUAGAGUUGGAACAGCUUUCCUUCGUUUGCCGCUUGGGACGCUGUUUCAAUUUCACACAAAUUUGAGUUA
RNAcentral lists this microRNA precursor (85 nucleotides) under Bombyx mori (domestic silkworm). RNAcentral describes it as "mir-2807 microRNA precursor family". It matches the Rfam family "mir-2807 microRNA precursor family". Lineage: Eukaryota; Metazoa; Arthropoda; Insecta; Lepidoptera; Bombycidae. The record is from Rfam by way of RNAcentral.